AUUGAACGCUGGCGGCAGGCCUAACACAUGCAAUUCGAGCGGAUGAAGGGAGCUUGCUCCUGGAUUCAGCGGCGGACGGGUGAGUAAUGCCUAGGAAUCUGCCUGGUAGUGGGGGAUAACGUCCGGAAACGGGCGCUAAUACCGCAUACGUCCUGAGGGAGAAAGUGGGGGAUCUUCGGACCUCACGCUAUCAGAUGAGCCUAGGUCGGAUUAGCUAGUUGGUGGGGUAAAGGCCUACCAAGGCGACGAUCCGUAACUGGCCUGAGAGGAGGAUCAGUCACACUGGAGCUGGAACAGGGUCCAGACUCCUGCGGGAGGCAGCAGUGGGGAAUAGUGGACAAUGGGCGAAAGCCUGAUCCAGCGAUGGCGCGUGUGUGGAGAAGGUCUUCGGAUUGGAAAGCAGGUUUAGUUGGGAGGAAGGGCAGUAAGUUAAGACCUUGCUGUAGUGACGUUACCAACAGAAUAAGCACCGGCUAACUUCGUG
This 484-nucleotide ribosomal RNA is filed under the name uncultured bacterium. RNAcentral describes it as "partial 16S ribosomal RNA". It matches the Rfam family "Bacterial small subunit ribosomal RNA", at positions 30 to 507 of the family's 1533-position model. The record is from RNAcentral.